This 466-nucleotide ribosomal RNA is filed under the name uncultured bacterium. Its description in RNAcentral is "SSU rRNA". It matches the Rfam family "Bacterial small subunit ribosomal RNA", at positions 26 to 518 of the family's 1533-position model. The record is from RNAcentral.
AGGACUAACGCUGGCGGCGUGCCUAACACAUGCAAGUCGAACGAAGUAGCAAUACUUAGUGGCAGACGGGUGAGUAACACGUAGUCAACCUGCCCUUCAAUGGGGGAUAACUAGCCGAAAGGUUAGCUAAUACCGCAUACGAUCUCUGAGUGGCAUCACUCGGCGAUGAAAGGAGUAAUCCGUUGAAGGAGGGGACUGCGUCCCAUUAGUUAGUUGGUGGGGUAAUGGCCCUACCAAGACUCCGAUGGGUAGCUGGCUUGAGAGAGCGACCAGCCACACUGGAACUGAGACACGGUCCAGACUCCUACGGGAGGCAGCAGUGAGGAAUUUUCCGCAAUGGGGGAAACCCUGACGGAGCGACGCCGCGUGUGGGAAGAAGGCCUUCGGGUCGUAACCACUGUCGAGGGGGACGAGUAUUGACGGUACCCCGUGGAGGAAGCCCGGCUAACUACGCGCCAGCAGCCGC